This 487-nucleotide ribosomal RNA is filed under the name uncultured bacterium. Its description in RNAcentral is "bacterial SSU rRNA". It matches the Rfam family "Bacterial small subunit ribosomal RNA", at positions 29 to 532 of the family's 1533-position model. The record is from RNAcentral.
AUUGAACGCUGGCGGCAUGCCUUACACAUGCAAGUCGAACGGCAGCGCGGGAGCAAUCCUGGCGGCGAGUGGCGAACGGGUGAGUAAUAUAUCGGAACGUGCCCAGUAGUGGGGGAUAGCCCGGCGAAAGCCGGAUUAAUACCGCAUGAGACCUGAGGGUGAAAGCGGGGGAUCGCAAGACCUCGCGCUAUUGGAGCGGCCGAUAUCAGAUUAGCUAGUUGGUGGGGUAAAGGCCUACCAAGGCAACGAUCUGUAGUUGGUCUGAGAGGACGACCAGCCACACUGGGACUGAGACACGGCCCAGACUCCUACGGGAGGCAGCAGUGGGGAAUUUUGGUCAAUGGGCGAAAGCCUGAACCAGCAACGCCGCGUGUGCGAUGAAGGCCUUCGGGUCGUAAAGCACUUUUCGGGAGGAUGAGGAAGGACAGUACUCCCGGAAUAAGUCACGGCUAACUACGUGCCAGCAGCCGCGGUAAGGUCGUCAUGU